This 69-nucleotide transfer RNA is filed under the name Hoplisoma nattereri (blue corydoras). RNAcentral describes it as "Corydoras nattereri tRNA-Ser". The record is from RNAcentral. Lineage: Eukaryota; Metazoa; Chordata; Actinopteri; Siluriformes; Callichthyidae.
CGAGAGAGGCCAAGAGCAGUAAGGACUGCUAAUCCCUACCCCCGCGGUUAAACUCCGCGGCUCACUCGA